ACGCUGGCGGCGUGCUUAACACAUGCAAGUCGAACGGAAAGGCCUAAGCUUGCUUGGGUACUCGAGUGGCGAACGGGUGAGUAACACGUGAGUGAUCUGCCCUCAACUUCGGGAUAAGCCUGGGAAACUGGGUCUAAUACUGGAUAGGACCAUCCUUUAGUGUGUGAUGGUGGAAAGUUUUUUCGGUUGGGGAUGAGCUCGCGGCCUAUCAGCUUGUUGGUGGGGUAAUGGCCUACCAAGGCGUCGACGGGUAGCCGGCCUGAGAGGGUGUACGGCCACAUUAGGACUGAGACACGGCCCAGACUCCUACGGGAGGCAGCAGUGGGGAAUAUUGCACAAUGGGCGGAAGCCUGAUGCAGCGACGCCGCGUGAGGGAUGACGGCCUUCGGGUUGUAAACCUCUUUCGACAGGGACGAAGCUUUUGUGACGGUACCUGUAUAAGAAGCACCGGCUAACUACGUGCCAGCAGCCGCGGUAAUACGUAGGGUGCGAGCGUUGUCCGGAAUUACUGGGCGUAAAGAGCUCGUAGGUGGUUUGUCGCGUCGUCUGUGAAAUUCCGGGGCCUAACUCCGGGCGUGCAGGCGAUACGGGCAUAACUUGAGUGCUGUAGGGGAGACUGGAAUUCCUGGUGUAGCGGUGAAAUGCGCAGAUAUCAGGAGGAACACCGAUGGCGAAGGCAGGUCUCUGGGCAGUAACUGACGCUGAGGAGCGAAAGCAUGGGGAGCGAACAGGAUUAGAUACCCUGGUAGUCCAUGCCGUAAACGGUGGGCGCUAGGUGUAGGGGACUUCCACGUCUUCUGUGCCGUAGCUAACGCAUUAAGCGCCCGGCCUGGGGAGUACGGCCGCAAGGCUAAAACUCAAAGGAAUUGACGGGGGCCCGCACAAGCGGCGGAGCAUGUGGAUUAAUUCGAUGCAACGCGAA
This 922-nucleotide ribosomal RNA is filed under the name uncultured bacterium. RNAcentral describes it as "bacterial SSU rRNA". It matches the Rfam family "Bacterial small subunit ribosomal RNA", at positions 33 to 965 of the family's 1533-position model. The record is from RNAcentral.